AAUCUGUUGCGGUUUUCUUCCUUACCAAAUUUAGCAUGGCUCGGAUAUAGGUUCACUUCCACUCAGAUACGAUAUCAAACAAGUACUAUCUGGGGCCUGCUCCUUUGCACUCUGGACCUUCGUUGGAGAAGGCGAUGUUGGACACCGGUCAUGAAGACGAGGAAGGUGCUUUGAUUAGCCAGUGUCGCGGCCAAGGAGAAGAAGUUGUCGGAUCCUUCCCUCGUCUAUCUGAAGUCGUGUUUGUUGCCUGGGGCGAGCGAUCCCGAUGGAUUCUUAAAAGCUGCUGUUAACAACACAGGCCAGUAGAAAGUUGAAGCUUUGUUUGUUGUGACAAAGCAGCUUUCUGCUGAUUUAGGGGCAGCGUAGUCGAUUCCAGAGGGACAAAGUUGCAAGAAUGGGCAAGGAUCUAUUCUCACUACUGUGUAGUUGCAACAUUUCUCAGACACAAAUGUGAGGUUAAUGGCCCUACCCUUUAAUAGGCACUGCGUACUCUAAUUGAAUACUCUCACAAUACUGUCGGAUCGAAAUAUGGAGGACCCUUAGGAUUAAGGUUUCAACUUUUUGCAAGGACGCACAUAAAUACAUGGGUACAAAUGUACAACUUCAGUUAGAAGCAAGGUAGGCAUCAAAAUCUUGACUAGUCUAAGUCUAUAGUAGAGGAUAAUUUAAUGGCUAACCGUCCUCAUCUACCGUCAUGAUUUUGUGCUAUAUUAAGAAAAUAUGCAUUAAAUAUAAUUUAUUAUCAGAAAUAUGCUCACAAAUACACUUAUUUGAUUAUUUCAUUGUAUAGAGGAACAAUUGAUGCUACCUUCAAAUUUCAUCCUAUUAGUCCUGAAAAUUGGUUCAUUACUUGCACAAUCACAAUUCAAGCAACUCAAGAAGCAUGCGCCCUCCUAAAAAAAUUAGAAAAAAAAACCAAACAAAUUAAAAAAAACCUCAUGAGCCCAAUCUUUUGCAAUAUAUAAUGUACAAUGUUUUAAUAAAUCUUGGGACCUUCUGAAACAACAAUCAUGACCAAUAUUUUUCUCUAAAAAUCAAUUUCCUCUUUCUAUAAAAAGAAAAAAUAUAAAUUUCUAAGGUAAUUUAUGAUAAUACUUAU
Salvia splendens (bonfire salvia) is the source of this 1099-nucleotide long non-coding RNA. RefSeq lists it as uncharacterized. The transcript is spliced from 3 exons. The record is from RefSeq and is a predicted model, not a curated record. NCBI's taxonomy places the organism in Eukaryota, Viridiplantae, Streptophyta, Magnoliopsida, Lamiales, Lamiaceae.